Non-coding RNA from Podarcis lilfordi (Lilford's wall lizard), 76 nucleotides. NCBI's taxonomy places the organism in Eukaryota, Metazoa, Chordata, Lepidosauria, Squamata, Lacertidae. The record is from the annotation of a GenBank genome assembly.
GCCGGGAAAGCUCAUUCAGUAGCAGAGCAUCAGACUCUUAAUCUGUGGGUCGUGGGUUUGAGCCCCACGCUGGGCA